GCUCCUACGGGGCGCAGCAGUGGGGAAUAUUGCACAAUGGGGGGAACCCUGAUGCAGCGACGCCGCGUGCGGGAUGAAGGCUUUCGGGUUGUAAACCGCUUUCAGCAGGGAAGAUAAUGACGGUACCUGCAGAAGAAGCCCCGGCUAACUACGUGCCAGCAGCCGCGGUAAUACGUAGGGGGCAAGCGUUGUCCGGAUUUACUGGGCGUAAAGGGAGCGUAGGCGGACUUUUAAGUGAGAUGUGAAAUACUCGGGCUCAACUUGAGUGCUGCAUUUCAAACUGGAAGUCUAGAGUGCAGGAGAGG
RNAcentral lists this ribosomal RNA (305 nucleotides) under uncultured bacterium. RNAcentral's name for it is "bacterial SSU rRNA". It matches the Rfam family "Bacterial small subunit ribosomal RNA", at positions 335 to 657 of the family's 1533-position model. The record is from RNAcentral.